This 445-nucleotide unclassified non-coding RNA is filed under the name Hypenia machrisae. RNAcentral's name for it is "Eriope machrisae partial external transcribed spacer". Lineage: Eukaryota; Viridiplantae; Streptophyta; Magnoliopsida; Lamiales; Lamiaceae. The record is from RNAcentral.
GUGAGUGGUGUUUGGUGUGUGUGGGUAUGUCGGAUCCCUGCUCGGGCAGCGACGGCAUCUCCUGCACGCCUCUUCAUUGGUUGGAACAAGUUCGCUCUUGUCCGAUAAUGGUUAUCCUGUGUUGCAUACCUWUUGYAAAGGCAUUCGAUUGGCUAAAUUUUCCAUCUCCGCCUUGUGCCGGUGCUCCUUGCGGGCAUGCGGUAUGGGGUGGAUCUCAAGGCGUGCGUCGUGUUUCGCGCCGCAUUCACCUGAAUUGGUGUUUGGGUAGGCGACACUCGACGUGCUGCUCGUUGUCUCGGGUGCGGAAUAUCGGGUGGGUACGAGGCAUCGACCUCCGAUCACCACACAAAUGCGUUCUACGCUUUUUGCGAACGACGGCUGCACUCGGCAUUUGGCGGGGCACUUGCUGCUCCGUUGAAGUCGUGUCGGCGUCGGUAAAGGAUGC